RNAcentral lists this transfer RNA (82 nucleotides) under Acidobacteriota bacterium. RNAcentral describes it as "Acidobacteria bacterium tRNA-Ser". Lineage: Bacteria; Pseudomonadati; Acidobacteriota. The record is from RNAcentral.
GUGUGUUUUCGUCUGAAAAACAGGGCUUUGACUCGCCUUCACACGGCGGGGGUCAGUGGUUCGAAUCCACUAGCGCCCACCA